AUGAACGCUGGCGGCGUGCCUAAUACAUGCAAGUCGAGCGAACAGACGAGGAGCUUGCUCCUCUGACGUUAGCGGCGGACGGGUGAGUAACACGUGGAUAACCUACCUAUAAGACUGGGAUAACUUCGGGAAACCGGAGCUAAUACCGGAUAAUAUAUUGAACCGCAUGGUUCAAUAGUGAAAGACGGUUUUGCUGUCCCUUAUAGAUGGAUCCGCGCCGCAUUAGCUAGUUGGUAAGGUAACGGCUUACCAAGGCGACGAUGCGUAGCCGACCUGAGAGGGUGAUCGGCCACACUGGAACUGAGACACGGUCCAGACUCCUACGGGAGGCAGCAGUAGGGAAUCUUCCGCAAUGGGCGAAAGCUUGACGGAGCAACGCCGCGUGAGUGAUGAAGGUCUUCGGAUCGUAAAACUCUGUUAUUAGGGAAGAACAAAUGUGUAAGUAACUAUGCACGUCUUGACGGUACCUAAUCAGAAAGCCACGGCUAACUACGUG
This 496-nucleotide ribosomal RNA is filed under the name uncultured bacterium. Its description in RNAcentral is "partial 16S ribosomal RNA". It matches the Rfam family "Bacterial small subunit ribosomal RNA", at positions 29 to 507 of the family's 1533-position model. The record is from RNAcentral.